UACAAUGAAUACAAAAAAAUCUUGAUAAUUAAUUUAAUAUAUAAGUCCUUAUUAUAGAAAGGUACAUUCUGAAGUCGGUGAACUAUAAAUGUCUGAAAAUUCUAGUAAAUAAUUCUAGAUUGUGUUCAUUUAUCAAAAAAAUAAGUUCAGUCUUGAAAUAUUUUUAGAGUGGGCACCCUUGGUGACCACUUAUUCCUCAAACCUAGUGUGUCGACGACCCAUAGCGAUUGGUCACCGACUCGCAUGGAAUUAACUUUUUAUAUCUUUUCAUUUAAUACUAAAUUUUUGUAAGCGUUUUUUUGCUUGGAUUAAGCUAUAUAUGUAUAUAUAUUUUUUAAAAUCCUUAAAUGCUCGAAGAAUAACAAAAUGUUCAUGAUUUUAGGUUAGAAGAACCACUUAGAGCUACUACAAAGAAUUCAAGUCGUGCUUUGUCCAAAUUUGAACCUCAUUCAACGAGUCAUCCUGUUGAGUCUGUGGAAAAAGAGCCAUCUAUCUCAAAUAGCAAGUCCAGUCCUGUCCAUAAUCUGAAACUGGGCUCUACCUGGCCUGAAGUUGAACUGAAUCCUCCUUACCUUGGCCUGAAAUUGAAUGAAAAAUACAUUGAAUCCUAAUAUUACAUCCUAAUUUGGGUGUAAGUAACGGAAACCACUUGUGUACUGUUGAUGUUCCUGUUAGAUAUGAAAUAUCUUUUUGUGAUACGGAACAGACAUUCUCAUCUGUUGCAUGAAAUAUGUAUAUUUUUCAUCAGAUAUCAUAUAUGUAUCAGCUCAUCAUUUGUGUACAAAAAUGGAAAACAUAUGUAAUCAUAUAAAAAUUUUAAGGCUGUAAAAAGUUUUCAUUGACAAUGUAAUAGUUG
Parasteatoda tepidariorum (common house spider) is the source of this 856-nucleotide non-coding RNA. The record is from RefSeq and is a predicted model, not a curated record. NCBI's taxonomy places the organism in Eukaryota, Metazoa, Arthropoda, Arachnida, Araneae, Theridiidae.